Long non-coding RNA from Passer domesticus (house sparrow), 2635 nucleotides. RefSeq lists it as uncharacterized. The record is from RefSeq and is a predicted model, not a curated record. Lineage: Eukaryota; Metazoa; Chordata; Aves; Passeriformes; Passeridae. The transcript has 4 exons.
GUUUACAGUGUUGCUAUUUAAACAGUUCCAGUUAAGCUUUGAAAAGCACCUUCCUUUCAGGUCAAUAAAGUGGCUGCAGGCCAAGUUCCCAUCUGUGCUUAACUUGUGUUUGCUGGCUGGAGACAAUUUUCUACUAGGCCUGUUUGAAAAGAAAGCAGUGUAGUGUGAUAACUGUCUGCUAACGCGGGCCUGCAUGGAGGCUUGGAAACUCUGACAGCCCAAAAGUCUCAGUCACAGUAAUGUAUGAUAAGGAUAUCAGUGUUCUAACUGUGCCCACAGAUGGGAGUGCCCCAAGCAAAGCAGCCAAGUGAGUUCUUGAUCUUGGCCUGAUCCAGAGGUGCUGUCCUUCCCCCAGAAUGGAGCUGCAGCAUCAGGGUUCCCACAGCAGUGACCCAGCAUCUCCAAAAACAGGGAAGAGCAUCUUCCCUAAGUGGUGGUGAAGGUGAAACCAGCAAAGGGAGAGAAUUUGGGGUGACAACACUGCACAGGAGGCCUAAAAGCCAGAGAAAAGUGUCACAGGAGAGCACCUCACCAUGUCUGCAGCAAACCACAGAGCUACAGCAGCAGAAAGAAAGCAGAACAAGAGAUGUCACGGAGAGCUGAUGGGACAUUUUGGAGGGCUGAAGAAAGCUGCCUGAAACUCUGACCUAUUGGAUCUGUAGGUCAGUCUGCCAUAUGGAAUGAGCUGCUGCAGUGUGUUGUAAAACUGCUGCAAGAAACCACUGCUGCAGCUCCAUCUCUUUGCUAUUAGGAGAAAAGGUCAGGCACAAGCUCCUUCUGCUGCUCUUGGCUGUGCUGAGCAAAGGCCAUGGAAGGAGCCCAUUACAGACUGAAAGUGAAUUGCUCCAGGCUUGUGAGUUGUAGUGCCAGUGGGGAGGCACACUGCUAAUAAAAAUGGUCUGGUGUACGGGGGCUUUUUGGGAUAUACAAUCUGAAACUUGAAGGUAUUCAGUGAGGACUGGAGAGUGGAUUUCCAAAAGAGGACAAACACGAAAUAACUCUGUCUAGACAUAUCCUUCUAAAGCCUGAUUCCGAGGCUUUACAGCCCUGAUGGACUGUCCCUCUCUGAAAUUAACCCUAAUUUAUCCUCCCUGCCUCCACAACAACCUGUGCCAAUGAGGUCCACAAUUUCAGUGCUGCUGAGCAAAUGUGCAGCUGAUAAACACAGACUUAUUACUCAUGUUAGUGCCAUCUCUGUGCUUGUCAGUUUAGGAAUGUGUCCUUAAAUGCUUAUGGGAUAUGCACAUUAGCCUGACUUUAUAAUCUAAGACAUGCAAAUUGGUCUUUAUAACGGUGUAAAACCCAUUAAGCCAAUGGAGUUUCACAUGGACGUAUGGUCUGCCCACACAGAUUGAAUUACAGGUUGAGGGCUAUAAUUGCAGCAAACAGCACAUAAUUACUGGAAUGACACUCUCUUUGUUACCUCUGAGCACUGAGAAUAUUUCCUAUACUAAAAAGGUUAUUCAUAAAGAUGGUACAGUUCCCUUGAAAAAAAAAAAAAAGAAAUAAAAUGAGGAGCUACAUGGAAGCCAUAGCCUAUUUUUAAUGCUUCCAUUUGUCAGGAAGUGACAGAGGAGUCAAAACUUCGAAUUAGUCAAAUAAGGUAAAAAUGUAUAUGAAACUUCAGUAGUGUCUGGUAGUUGCAUUGUGCAAUUGUACUCAUCAAAAGCCAUCCUGACAGCUUUUUCAUUCUAAGUUAAAGGAAAGUAUAAUGAUUUGUUUAUAUUUGGAAGUUCUAAGAAUUCUGUGUACAUAUUUCAUUUGACUGUAUCACAAAAGAAUAAUUUAUUGCAACUACCUAACAAAAAGCUUCCAAACCUGGCUGUUUUAAUACCUCACUCAUUUCCUUCAGAAUAUCUUUUUUAUAUUGUCAUAAGAUUUCCUGUCUGCAGCCCUGCUGCUGUAAACCUCUCGACUGUAACAGACCUCAGCCUCAAAAAUGUCAAACACAAUGGCAAAGGGAGAAGGGCAGAGUGAGCUGCUCCUGGGGCUCCUCUGCUCCUCCUCUCUGGGUCACUGCCCCAGCUGAGCAUCCACACUGCUGGGGAUGCUCUGUGCUAUGGCACUGAGGUUCACUGGGAAAAUCCAGCAUCCAUCCAGUUCUCCCCUUGGACUCCCCUUUUCCUCCUCUUCCUUAACAAGAACAAAGCAUAGGAGCUGUAAAUGCAAAAAAUAGUUGCCUUUUGAAAGCUCAUUUUUCUUAACCUCCACCAUAAGACAUGCUUGCUAAGGACUUCUGGGAAAAAUUAGUUUUAAAGAACGUACCUGUAUGUCAGAAAAAGUCUACAGGGCUGAUCUAGGAAUAUAUAAUUUUAUUUCUUUUUUUAAUGCAAGGAUUACACUGACUGUAAGCCAGGGAAAGAGAGGUUUGGUGUCUUUACACUUGCUAUGUUAUGACAUAAAUACAGAAUAUGAUGCAUGCCUAAUAUUAGCUUUGAUGGCAAAGGAAAAUUCCGAGAACUCUAAAGAGGAAGAUUUGGUUUGUGGUGUCAGUUUUAUCAGACAGGUGAACAGAGCUUUCCCUGCAUCCUCCUCAUAGCCUGGCUGGGGCACACAGUUCAUGACAGGAAAAUAUUUUCCUUUCUGGCUAAGCUUCUUCUGGAAGAAGGAAGACAAGAUUGUAAAACAGGAGUUC